UGGAACUGAGACACGGUCCAGCCUCCUACGGGAGGCAGCAGUGGGGAAUUUUGCGCAAUGGGGGAAACCCUGACGCAGCAACGCCGCGUGAGUGAUGAAGGGCCUUGGGUCGUAAAGCUCUGACAGAGGGAAAGAAAUGUGGGUGGCUAAUAUCCAUUCCACUUGACGGUACCCUCAAAGGAAGCACCGGCUAACUCCGUGCCAGCAGCCGCCGUAAUACGGAGGGU
RNAcentral lists this ribosomal RNA (227 nucleotides) under uncultured bacterium. Its description in RNAcentral is "partial 16S ribosomal RNA". It matches the Rfam family "Bacterial small subunit ribosomal RNA", at positions 314 to 533 of the family's 1533-position model. The record is from RNAcentral.